RNAcentral lists this ribosomal RNA (119 nucleotides) under Octopus vulgaris (common octopus). RNAcentral also lists the same sequence under 1 other name. The record is from RNAcentral. Lineage: Eukaryota; Metazoa; Mollusca; Cephalopoda; Octopoda; Octopodidae.
CCUUACGGCCAUAUCACGUUGAAAGCACCGGUUCUCGUCCGAUCACCGAAGUUAAGCAACAUCGAGCCUAGUUAGUACUUAGAUGGGUGACCGCUUGGGAAACCUAGGUGCUGUAAGCA